Molecule: ribosomal RNA, 301 nt
Filed under: uncultured bacterium
Lineage: Bacteria
Description: partial 16S ribosomal RNA
Rfam family: Bacterial small subunit ribosomal RNA
Source: RNAcentral
CAGCCGCCGCGGGAAUACGUAGGUGGCAAGCGUUGUCCGGAAUUAUUGGGCGUAAAGGGCUCGCAGGCGGUUUCUUAAGUCUGAUGUGAAAGCCCCCGGCUCAACCGGGGAGGGUCAUUGGAUACUGGGAAACUUGAGUGCAGAAGAGGAGAGUAGAAUUUCACGUGUAGCGGUGAAAUGCGUAGAGAUGUGGAGGAACACCAGUGGCGAAGGCGACUCUCUGGUCUGUAACUGACGCUGAGGAGCGAAAGCGUGGGGAGCGAACAGGAUUAGAUACCCCUGUAGUCCCUGUCUCUUAUAC